UGGGGAAUAUUGCACAAUGGGCGCAAGCCUGAUGCAGCCAUGCCGCGUGUGUGAAGAAGGCCUCGGGUUGUAAAGCAUUUCAGCGAGGAGGAAGGUGGUGAACUUAAUACGUUCAUCAAUUGACGUUACUCGCAGAAGAAGCACCGGCUAACUCCGUGCCAGCAGCCGCGGUAAUACGGAGGGUGCAAGCGUUAAUCGGAAUUACUGGGCGUAAAGCGCACGCAGGCGGUUUGUUAAGUCAGAUGUGAAAUCCCCCGGGCUCAACCUGGGAACUGCAUUUGAAACUGGCAAGCUAGAGUCUCGUAGAGGGGGGUAGAAAUUCCAGGUGUAGCGGUGAAAUGCGUAGAGAUCUGGAGGAAUACCGGUGGCGAAGGCGGCCCCCUGGACGAAGACUGACGCUCAGGUGCGAAAAGCGUGGGGAGCAAAACAGGAUUAGAUACCCUGGUAGUCCACGCUGUAAAACGAUGUCGAUUUUGGAGGUUGUGCCCUUGAGGCGUGGCUUCCGGAGCUAACGCGUU
This 518-nucleotide ribosomal RNA is filed under the name uncultured bacterium. RNAcentral's name for it is "partial 16S ribosomal RNA". It matches the Rfam family "Bacterial small subunit ribosomal RNA", at positions 355 to 861 of the family's 1533-position model. The record is from RNAcentral.